RNAcentral lists this transfer RNA (66 nucleotides) under Marmota monax (woodchuck). RNAcentral's name for it is "tRNA.Glu". It matches the Rfam family "tRNA", at positions 6 to 65 of the family's 71-position model. Rfam says of the family: Transfer RNA (tRNA) molecules are approximately 80 nucleotides in length. The record is from RNAcentral. Lineage: Eukaryota; Metazoa; Chordata; Mammalia; Rodentia; Sciuridae.
GGCUGUAGCUCAGUGGUAGAGCACAGCUUCUCAUGCAUGAGGAACUGGGUUCGAUCCUCAGCACCA